Tigriopus californicus is the source of this 3540-nucleotide long non-coding RNA. RefSeq lists it as uncharacterized. The transcript has 2 exons. The record is from RefSeq and is a predicted model, not a curated record. Lineage: Eukaryota; Metazoa; Arthropoda; Copepoda; Harpacticoida; Harpacticidae.
UCAGUCCUCAUUAUACGGAUUAAUGUACUUACGUAGUUCGGGAAAAAAUCCUUUAGAGUGUCAUUCUAAAAUUGUGGUAUAAUUUAUGAGUACGUUCCUGAUGCAAUUUACUUGCCAAGAGUAUGGUUCAAUAUCGCAUUAUUUCAAAAGCAUUAAAAAGUAUCUUCAUUGGAUACUUAGUAUCCCUAGUUGGCUUUGACUUUCCUAAAUUAUCGACUUCGCAUUAACCCAAUCCAUAUUUGUUGUCCUUCUUUUUCAUGUGCUUAAUUUAAUUUCACCCAUGCAGCAACCUGUGCUCAAUAGCCUGGGCUAGAAUUAGGAGAUAAAUGCAGAAAGACACUAGCCCAAAAUUAAGAGAAGCUCGGAAUGAGCGAUCAUCAAAACGUCACUCCUUUUUCAAUUCAGCUGGACAGCGUAAGGCUGCCAAGUACGAGUGCGUUGCACACCCUUGAAGCACAUUUUAAAGGGCAUCGUCCAUCAACUUUCCGGUGUUACAGAAGCAUAUUAACAUUAUUCUAAUUCAGCCAAGUCGUACCCAAGAAAGUUAACAAGUUUUCCCUCCCAUUUUUCUUUGGGUGUGUAAAGUCCACCGCCGAGAAACCGAGUUUCCAUGCAUUUUUCCACUGUGUAUAAGUGGCAAUAAAGCCAACCAUAUUCCAUGUCGUCCCAUGGGGGCUCAGCACGUAACAGAAGCAAUGACAAUGGAGCGAGGCCCGAAUGAAUCAUGCUCAAGCAAACAAAUAUGGGGACUCGUUUCUGUCUCCCAAAGCUCUCUCUCUCUCUCUCUCUCUUUCUCUUUUAUGCUUUCUGUACUCAACUGUAUGUACAGUGCAUAUCUACGUAAUUGGAGGAUGAGUAAUAUCCAUAAUAUGGAAAUGGCUGUCCUAGACCGGAUCAAAGUCCAUGUUCAUCUAAUGGGAAUCCAAGAUCAGCCCAUGAUGAUGUCAAGUCAGGAGAUCGAGUACAAUGGAAAACACUUGAUUGGGUUUGAAUGUAAACACUCUGUAGUCUGUAAGUACGUACGUACGGUUUUUUCUUUCGGUGGACAAACUGUGAAAUGUGAACCAAAACCCGGGUCGCAUUCCACAUUCAGUCCUGAGUGAGUGUCUCUUUACCCCUAAUGUGGUUGGACACCUGCAGUGCUCUGUGCAAAUGUACAUAGCCGAAAGCUCAAUUACAAGUGCAAAUGUUGUGGUUACGUCAUGGGCUUAAAAGACCCAACAAACACUGAUGCCACUUCACAGAAUACGAUAACCUAGGGUGUACUUGUUAUACGUUUCUUUACUUUCGCAACUUUUCAUUCCUUAUGUGCUUUUAAGAAGGACAGUCUUGAUACGGUACAUAUUCAAUUGCCUGGGCGUUAAGUUGAGUAACAGAUGUCCUUUGUUUAUUGGGGCGUGACCUAUAUGAAUUGGUGUUUGACAAACUACACCAAAGCUAACAAGAUUCGUAAGAAUAGAGUAUGAGCUUGCGCUCUCACUCUGGGUUGUACAAAUGGCAAUUUGUAAUAUUAUCUCUACUGCUGAUAUUCACAACGCCAAAAUCGUGAAUUCAAGACCUGAACAUUAACCCUCAUUGCUCAAUCUUUAAAGACACACUGUCUAAUUCAUAGACGUUUUAAAACUCAUGACAUACGCUCUAGUCUUGGAUGGGAACAGACGGCCAAUUGGCAGACACCGGUUUGCCAGUGUUUAAUUGUGGGUGCGCGCUGAAAGCCUUACCUGAAAAUAAAACAUUAACAACUUUGAGCUCAUGGUUCGUUCAUAUUUGUUUCGUUUCAAGGUCAAUGUAGCCAUAUCUGGGGUUUUAUGUUGGGAAAAAUGCACUUUGCCUCUCAGGGCCCGGUUCAAGUUGGCAUUCCAAUCUCAGGGACUCGUUUUACUGCUUGAGAGGAAAAAUGUUCCUGCCGCGUUCAAGUUGGCAGGAACAAAAGAAAUCCAGCCUCGAGUGUCCGAUGUCUCGUUUGACUCGCCUACUUUUGGCCUUUGCUUGCGAGCCGUUAAAUCCCAAAUCCAAGGGAAAGAAAGACAUUUAGCCCAUCUGCUGGGCUUUGUGUAUGCAGCUAAAGAGACCACGGUGAGGUUUGGCGCGGUUUCAGAUUAAUUUGCGAUCCCAGGACUUCCGAUGCUUGUUUUCCCAUUUGUGAGACUUUUAAGAGAAGCAAGAUCAACAAUGAGGCAUUUCAACUCCCAUAUGAAAAUAUUUCGGCAAUAGAAUUUCACAUAAUUUCGUAUGACAGAACGGUUUUAUGUAAUCUAAAAAAGAUCUUACUUUCAGACUGUCUUAACGGGACCUAAAUAUUUUCAACCCGUUACCCAACACACUCCAUUAAAAUUUUUUUUUUUAAAUGCUUAAUGUCUUAACUAUGGAAAAAAUAGACUUUUAAGAAAGCCUCCUGGGAGCGUGAAAUUAAUCUAAAACCGCUAAAUCCCACCGUGAGACGUUAUUGUCCUUGGUGUUUUUGUAUCAGAGUGUUGUCUGGACUCCUGAGAUGAAGCACUCACUCACUCCUCACGGGAAUCUGGAAUUAAUUUCAUGGCGUCUUGCAUCAACGGAAAUAAGCACGCUUAAAGAAUGAGAUCUGCCCCUUGUGGAACUGUACAUGCUCCAUUUUGUGGUGACCCUGAAUCUCGCAUAAAGUUCAGAUGGCGGAAGAGAAGAUGCCUCUUGGGCCAAGGGCAAAUCCAGGGAUUUUCACGACGGACGGCACCUAGAACAGUUCAGUUAGAGCACUUUGGCCUCUGGAGAGUUGCUCUUCAAGUUGAGGUAUUAUAUUGCUUUUGAGGGUCGAUUUCGAACGAGACGUCUGGGGUUUUUAAUAAUUGAUAGAGGUUUCUUUCAUGGCCUAGAUCUUCCCUGAAGUGUGGACAAGCGAGAGCUCUGGAGGCUUGUUGAACUAGAUGAAGACAAGCUUGGCAACUAUUCGUAUAAAGUCUUUAGUGUCAAUUCUGUGGCUAUUUGAUCAAGGAGGUCUUAGCUCGAGUUUCCCAGACUGUAGCCACUCCUAGCAACCACAAAGUGCUCUAAAUGACCUUGGACUUGAAGAAGAAAGGAAGAGAGACGGUCUGGAUAUUUCUACCACGUCAGAAAUACCAUUUUUCAAAUUUAUAUCACCGAAAGCCUCCUCUCCCUUGGUUUCUUCACUUUCAUACAAUGAAUGGAACUCAGGUACGGACGAAGGACUACCAGAUUUUUAUUGCUCUACAUUCUAGAUUAACGAUCGAGGUUUCAAAACGCCAUUGCCAGCGGCCUAUGUAAUCCACCACAAUCACGAGGGAAGCCAAGCUUGGAUUUGGAAACCUAUCAAUUGAAUAACUUUUUGCAUUCUUUCAUCGGUGUUCAUACAAUGGAUCAAAUUGACACCAACAACACACACUACAAUAUGGCCAGGGUUGCCAAAACAGAAGGAAAUCACAACAUGCACGCAUCUGACUUCAGAUUUCUUUACAUCAUGUUCUCAUAAGUAUCCUUUUUGUAAAGGCCCGUUUUAUAAAUUCUCUGUGUGCAUUUGAGAACCAUAUAUGUCAAAACUGAGAUGAA